RNAcentral lists this ribosomal RNA (448 nucleotides) under Nematoda sp. MC-MOTU-7. RNAcentral describes it as "partial 12S ribosomal RNA". Lineage: Eukaryota; Metazoa; Nematoda. The record is from RNAcentral.
AUGCUUUUUAAUUUAUACUCUAUAUUUUGUUAUUUUUCUAUUUUUAAUUUAAUUUUAUUUUAUUUUUGUAAAAUAUUUUAAUUUUUUGUAUUUUUUAGAAAAAUUUAAAAUUUGGUUAAUUGAACUGGAUUAGUACCCAGGUAAUCAAAAUUUAUUAAUGCGGGAGUAAAGUUAAUUUUAAACCGAAAAAAUAUUGGCUUGACCUUAAAUUUUUCUUUGGAACAUGUAAUUUUUGGAGAGUCCUCCCUAUUAUUUUUUUUUUUGCUCAUGUAUGAUUGUUUAUUUUUUAUAUUAUGUAUGAUUAUUUUUCUUUUAGAAUUAAAUGCAGAUAAAUACUUGGUUUAUGAAAAAUUUUUUUAUGUGUUACUAUUAUUAAUUUUAUCGGAUUAUUAAUUUGUUAUUAAUAGAAGUUGGAAAAGAAAGUAAUUUUUUCUUUAUGUUAGAAUGA